AAAAUGGCUGUUUUCACAGCCAUACACUUCCUACUACGAGUUGCGU
Stegodyphus mimosarum is the source of this 46-nucleotide non-coding RNA. The record is from Rfam. NCBI's taxonomy places the organism in Eukaryota, Metazoa, Arthropoda, Arachnida, Araneae, Eresidae.